GACGAACGCUGGCGGCGUGCCUAAUACAUGCAAGUUGAGCGCUGAAGGUUGGUACUUGUACCAACUGGAUGAGCAGCGAACGGGUGAGUAACGCGUGGGGAAUCUGCCUUUGAGCGGGGGACAACAUUUGGAAACGAAUGCUAAUACCGCAUAAAAACUUUAAACACAAGUUUUAAGUUUGAAAGAUGCAAUUGCAUCACUCAAAGAUGAUCCCGCGUUGUAUUAGCUAGUUGGUGAGGUAAAGGCUCACCAAGGCGAUGAUACAUAGCCGACCUGAGAGGGUGAUCGGCCACAUUGGGACUGAGACACGGCCCAAACUCCUACGGGAGGCAGCAGUAGGGAAUCUUCGGCAAUGGACGAAAGUCUGACCGAGCAACGCCGCGGGAGUGAAGAAGGGUUUCGGAUCGUAAAACUCUGUUGGUAGAGAAGAACGUUGGUGAGAGUGGAAAGCUCAUCAAGUGACGGUAACUACCCAGAAAGGGACGGCUAACUACGUG
RNAcentral lists this ribosomal RNA (497 nucleotides) under uncultured bacterium. RNAcentral describes it as "partial 16S ribosomal RNA". It matches the Rfam family "Bacterial small subunit ribosomal RNA", at positions 28 to 507 of the family's 1533-position model. The record is from RNAcentral.